Dermochelys coriacea (leatherback sea turtle) is the source of this 6385-nucleotide long non-coding RNA. RefSeq lists it as uncharacterized. The record is from RefSeq and is a predicted model, not a curated record. The transcript has 3 exons. Lineage: Eukaryota; Metazoa; Chordata; Testudines; Dermochelyidae.
AAAGGGUGGGACAGGCUUGAUCAACCUAGCUGCAGUGAUGCAGCUGGGAAAGUUUCUUGAGCUAAAUGGGAAGCUGGCUCAGGAAGAACAGGGCUGGAGGUCUCAGCCUUGUUCAGUCACGGUCACUCUUUCAGCAAGCCAGCAGACUUCACUGCCACAGGCUGCCUGGAUGCAGCAGCAUGUUUAAUAGUCAGGGACCCAGCUCCAGGGAUAAAACCACCUGCUACAUUGGCUACAGAGAACACGACAAUAAUGAAUUUAAUUACAGCAACACUACGGACAUCCUCACUGUUACUUAUCACAGUAAUGAGACUAAGAACAAGAAGCGGAGGACUUCAACUUAAGAGUUUGUCUACACAGGGAAAUUUACUGACAUCAUUAUACCGUAUAGUUAUACCUUAAAUAAAAGGCACAGAUGCUAAAGGAUCCCAGAACUCAGAGGGAGAGGGCAACAGCGCAAGAUUAGCAGGCUCCAAAGAGAAGAUUGCAAGCCCUGGGAAAUGAUGGGCCCCCAUUCCUUAGAAAGAGGACUGCAGCAAAACACUGUGUCACUUCUCCUGGGGGUAGAGCUGAGCUGUAGCUCUCCCCUAGUCACCCACCAAGCCUUUUCCCCAGCAGUGAAUCAGACCCUUUAAAUACUCUGUCUACAUGGGGAAACCUAGCAGUGUCAUUAUACCAGUAUAACUAGUCUCACAGUAGAGCCACGGUCACUGCAGACACUGACUGAUUCCUGUGUGGAAUUCAGCUGUUGAUUCAGGGUCCCCCAGAAAACCAGCUCUGGCUUUUGGGGCCCAAGAAGCCUAAACUUGGGGUGGGGAUGGCCGAGACCAGUUCAUAGAUAUGGGGGGAGACAUUGGGCCUCCAAUGAGAGGGGGAGGGUUGCUCUGGGCUCCUCCUAGAUGCUACUCUAGACUGCACUGGGGGGAAGAUUGUCCUGGGGGGUCUGGGCACCAGCUGCCUUCACACAGAAGCGCUAAUGCUCGCUCUGCCUGUCUCCAGCCCUAUCCAACAGCCUCUUGAAGACUCUAGCUCAUUCCAGUUGCAGCUCCCUGCACUCUGCCUCUUAUGCCUCGGGAGAUUUUUUUUUCCAGCAGAGCCCCUGCCCCAGUAGCUGCCAGCCUGAGGAUGUGGGGCCUGGCUGCAUCAGACUCAUCCUGUUUGCAGUGGCAGUAGCUGGGGCCCUUUACUGUAUGUCCGAUCCACCUGGAGGCUGGAUAGAAGCCCUGCUCCAGGCAGAGCUGUACGCACUGAGCCCACAUGAUGCUGCAAGAGGCUUCUCACCGGACUUGGGCCAGGAGUCCUGCUUUUCCUCACUGUCCUUUCAGCAGCACCGAGGCCUGGAUUCUGGCAAGGCAGGGGAUGAGGGGGAGAGAUCCAGCAUUGUGCAAAGGAGUGUGGAAUAAAGGAAAAAAAGGCGUUGAGUGAAAGAGAAAGGAAGAGACACCAAGAACAUGACACAGGAGGAAGAAGAAUGUUUAGAGAUAGACUAAGGGCAAGGAAUAAGGUAGGCCUAUCUCAAUCCUGGGAUGGUAUCAGCCCACCACCACCACAAGGGUGUCUACACAACCAGUGGUCUCCCAUGGCAGUGAGUCUCCGAGCCCAGGUGACAGACUCAAGGCUGAUCCACACUGGAAAUGGACAAUGGCAGAGCUGCCUCCCUCAGUGGUGUGAAAAAUCCACCCCCGAGAGACAGAGCUACGCUGACCUAACUCCUGCUGCAGACAGUGCUGGGCUUUUCUGUUGACCUAGCUGCUGCCUCUCAGGGAGGUGGAUUAACUACAGCGAUGGGAGAACCCCUUCCAUCAGCAUAGAUCGCGUCUAUAGCAGUGCAGCUGUAGCAUGUCAAGUGUAGAUAAGUCCUAAGUCUGUGGACCUGAGCCGUGGGCUGUGCAGAUGUCCCCCAAAAGGCCCUCCCCCUCAGAUGAAGGAAGGGCCCGAGAACCCAGCCAAAAAAUUUCAGGGGCCAAAAAAUGAGCAGAGGUCAGGGACAGGGUCAAAUCCAGAAGGGAAUGCCCAGCAGAGCCCUCCACAGCGUGUCCCAGUGCUCCAAGGAGUCAAUGGAUGCCUCCUGGGGCUGGAUGGGCACAUGGAUAAGGGUCAGGGAAAAGGCCCCAGAGAAUGCCCCCACCUAGCUUCCUCCUCCUAGAGUGAUGGAUGGCUGCUUUGGGCAGGACCAGGAGAAGGGUGAUGGGGUCGUUUCAGGAUUCGACUGAGUAGGAGAGAUGAACACAAGGGUUGUGGGGCCUGCAAUCCCAGGGUUAGAUGCUUCAGAAGGCUCUGGGGCCGUGUCUGCACCCAGCCCCACGUUUCAUCAGCCCUUCCCUGCCACAGGCUCCUGUGCCCUCCCUCCCACGCAAGCUGCCAGAGGAAUCGGGAUCAGCCCGGAGGAGCAGCUUUGGUGCAUGCUCCGCUACUGGUAUGGGGCCUGGAAGAUGACCACGCCCAGGGAGAGUCCAGCCAGACACUGGAGCAAGCAGUGGCUGAGGAAGGUCUCCCCUUUCAGUGGAUUGGUGUGAUCUGGUGCUCAGAGGAGGAUGCCUGGAUUCCAUUCACUCUGUGGCUUGGGCAAGUUAUUUUGCCAGCUCUGUGAUUCAGUUUCUGCCUUGUAACCUGCUGAUGCCGCAAACACAAGCAACCCUGUGUAGCAGUGAAAUCACUGGGGCUAUUUCAGGUACCCAGCGCAGGCAAAAUCUGCCAGACUGAACCUUUGCGUCUUCAGAAAGGCAAAUUAGCUUUUGUUGAGGCGAGUAUCAAGAUGCACACACCCAGGUGAGCGACCCAAGCAGAGGCCAGUGGUGAUAGAAGGAAGUUAUAAAAUAGGAAUCAAGGGGGUUAGUUGGUAUGACAGAGCUGCUGGGAAAACAAAGGGCCUGAAGGAAAUGUGGCCUAGUAGGCAGAGCACUGGACUGGCCUCAGAAGAGCUGGGUUCUGUUCCUGGCUCUGCCUCAGGCCUGCUGUAUGCCCGUGGGUAAGUCAUUUCACUGCUCUGUACCUCAGUUUCCCCAGCUGUCCAAUAGGGACGGUCCUGACCUCUUUUGUACAGUGCUGUGAGAUCUACUGCUGAAGAGGGAGGUACUGUUGUUAUUCUCCACUGCUUGCAUCCCAGGAAUUGUUCAAAUCCGUGUGAAAAGGGUGCAAGCCGCAAGCACCCAGGAGAAUGCAGCCAACCGGUGCGGUGACUACACAGAAGUGACUACACCAGGUGCCAGGCAGGGGAGAAAAGGCCCACAGUAUUUGCCAAGAUGGAUGAACCACCACAGGCAUUGAAAAUCCAAGACAGUGCACAGUUACAGACAGGGCACUGUGCCACGAAAGCCAAAAUCAAGGAAUUCAGCAAAAGGUGGGCCCCCACCAGAGAACAGGUGGAUGAGAGUAACCACCAUCUUACAUGGCCCCCAGAGGUUGAUCUUCUAGCUGUGUAGGUGUGGUGGUCACUGGGGGGGGGGGCGCGAAGGGGAGAAGGAAGUGACAGAGGUCAAUAUGGUCAUUUUCCCCUUGUACUCCCUUGUCUGUGUCUGUCUGCCCUUAGCUGUCUUAUACUCUGGAGCAGGGACUGUCUCUCUUCUGUGUUUGCAUCUAGCACAAUGGGGGCAUGGUCCAUGGCUGGUACUCCUAGGUGCUACUGAAAUACAAGUUACAGCAAACAAAGAUGCAAUAAAUCCCCACGUGGUAAAGGCCUUCCGAUUGCCCUGGUGUUGAAGAGAAUCAUUUUGGAUUCCCAUUAUCGUUCAGUACUAGAACCAUCUGCCUCUGCAAGUGAUUAUGCAGGAUGGAGAGGUAGGAAGGGAUGCCUACACCUUCCACUAGAUUAGGUGGCACAGACCUUCUACCCUAUCCCACGAUUUGGGAGACGGGGAUGAGUUUUCAUCCACUGAAAAGAGACACGCCCGAGGCCUGAACUCUUAUGGGACCUACAGGUUGUUUUGCUUAAUCUCCCCCAGAAAGGCACAUCAAAGUGGAAAAAUCAGCCUCCCACUCUCCCAGAUUAACUGUUGUUUCCUAACAAGCUGCAAACAGCAACAGGAGGAAGGCCCAAAGCUGGGUAACAGGUUGGAGAAUGCAGAAGAGCUAACAGUCACAAGGAAUUAUUCUGAGAAUUUCCAUAAUUCUGGGAAGAACCAGAGAGGACUGAGUCAGAUGCGAAAAGCAUCAUCAUUUCCAUAUUGUUUGCUGAUGUACAGCAAUGUGCAAGAGGCAAGGAAUCUUGAAGGCUAGAAAUUACUUACUGCCACACAGGACUUCAUUUCAGGACUACGCCAGGCCUUGCAAACUGGAUAUUAAUUUAAUGUUUGAAAAGCCUGAACAAAAUAUUUACUUCCAACAGAAACCAGAUUGUGCUGUUGGCUGGAAAACACGAUCACUCCGUGCACUGUUACAUACAAGCUGUCCUGGGCUGUAUCCCAUUUGGGCCAUGAGUUUAUUAAAUAUAGAAUAGUCUUGAAAAUGAAAACCCAGCUGGAGAUGUAGUUAGAGAGUUCCCAAAAAGUCUAUGUUGAAACAGCAGAUCAGCAGCUAGAUAACAUUCACUGAACUCUCUGUGGCCAUGAAGGAUGCAUUUAUAUUUAACCCACAAUCUAAUUCUUUAACGUUGUUUGUUAACUCAUUAAGUGAUCUAUCGAGAAUCUGAGUUUACAGCCAAUGCUGAUUUAAGAGUUUGCUCUAUUUAGCACAGAGGUGUGUAGAGAUUUAAUCAAUCUCCCUGACUAAGUUAUCAUGAGUGAUCAGACAGUACAUCACAAGUCUGUCUAGAUUCUAGGACAAGUAACUUAUCAUUGGUAAGAUGCCAUUAGCUUAGUGGAUAUGAACUGACUGCUUUUCAAACAUCCUGCCAACUUGAGAAAAGGACUUCAUUCAAAUCCAGAAACCUCUCUUAUUAACAGUGAACUCUACUUCAUUUCCUUCUGAAGUCUGUUUUAUGACUUCAGAACAGCUCCUGGCCAGGAGACCAAAUACAGCAAGGACACUGGCUGGGCUAUAACCCUGGCUCAUCUUAUUUAGCCAAGGUGAGAAAUCUGCACCUCACAAAGAAUGAGGUGGGGGUGGAGGCAAUUGACAAUGGUUAGUGUGGUUUAAAGUAAUGUUUGUAAAGGGCUUUGAGGAUAAAUCUUUACCUGUUGUUGCAAGAAAACAGAUUAAAUGCUCUUAUGUGUAGAUAAGAAUCAAGGGAGCCACCUCCCUCCCUAAAAAUGUUAAAUGCUGAAAGCCCUUCCUUCCUGAAACUGGAAAGUCACAAAUGUCAUGGAAUUUGGCUGGAUUGCAAUUUGGCUCAGAAGACUUGAGGAAGGAAUCUGAGUAGAAGUUUGCACAUUCCAGUUUCUAAUUGGACUCCAUUCCUGAUUCCUUCUUGCCCACUCUUGCUGGGCCUUAGGGCUUGUCUUGUUGGGGGAAACUUCCUGGUGUAGCUAGAACAGAAUAACAGUUCCUCAGUAGCUAUUCUGGUAUAACUGCCCUGGUGGAUACUAUUGCAAAAUAAGUUAUUUUAUUCCAGACUAAUUACUUCAUUUUCAAAUGGCUCUGCUCUGGAACAGUGGCUCCAGCCCCGGCAGUUGUUCUGGAAUAGCUAUAGCUGUAACAGGUAGUUUCUCCCAUGUAGACAAGGAAUAUUCACAGCAGCACCAGGGCCUGGCUUCCUAAAAAGAAGCUAAAAUGAAGGGACCUAGAAAGGACUUGCUUCUUAUGGUUUUUACCUCCCUCCAGAUUGUACCUCUGAUUGACCGGGGAAGCAGGGAACCCUGUCCUAAGAGAUGGGCAUUUGUAAACACUGCAAAGAGAAGGAGAACAGGCUAUUGGAGGCUGUGGAGGUGGAAGCCAGAAAUGCCUCAGCUCUAUAGUCAGCUCUGGCAGGCAUAAUGAGCUACAAACAGCCUCUCAGUUAAUCUCCCUGGCCGUGCAAUGAAGAGCAUCCUCAGACUGAAAACACCUGCUGUACAUCCAUUUGCUUCAUUCAUAGAUUUGAAAAGUCAACAAAGAGUAAGGGCUUGUCUACACUGGCACUUUACAGCACUGCAACUUUCUCGCUCAGGAGCGUGAAAAAAACCCUCAUGGAGGUGGGUUUUUUAGAGCCAUGGCAGCGCUUUAACAUUGCCGGUGUAGACUAGCCCUAAAAUACAGCAAUCCUUCCGGCAUCGUCCCAGCAGAGAGGGGCAGGCUGGGACAAUGACAACAACACAGACACAAGUCAGCCUCCUAGGAGGAAGGUCAGCCUUGUGGUUAAGGCAAGGUACUUAGGUAUGGCAAUGCUGAGUGACGCAGCACCUAGAAAAAAAAAAAUCACAAAUGCCUCUGCAAUCCAUGAAGCCUCAGCUCAGUGCCUAGGCACCCUAUACAAUGAAUGGGGGAGAGGCACCCUUCUAGUCUGACCCCUUGUGUAGCACAGACCAUAGAG